Astyanax mexicanus (Mexican tetra) is the source of this 1378-nucleotide long non-coding RNA. RefSeq lists it as uncharacterized. NCBI's taxonomy places the organism in Eukaryota, Metazoa, Chordata, Actinopteri, Characiformes, Acestrorhamphidae. The transcript has 2 exons. The record is from RefSeq and is a predicted model, not a curated record.
UGCAGGAACAAUACACCACUCUCCGACCAAUUACACCACGUCUACAUAUCUCACGCUGCUGCCCAGACGACCGAGCUGAAGGAGUCUGGAGGGUCAGAUCAGAACACCAGCAGCUCACUGUCCUCCACAGCUCCGGAGAUUAACCCUUUCAUACCCGAAUAUAAUAUAUAUAAUAUACAACACUUCAGUUUCUGAAUCAGUUUCUCUGAUUUUGCUAUUUAUAGGUUUAUGUUUGAGUAAAAUGAACAUUGUUGUUUUAUUCUAUAAACUACAGACAACAUUUCUCCCAAAUUACAAAUAAAAAUAUUCUCAUUUAGAGCAUUUAUUUACAGAAAAUGAGAAAUGUCUGAAAUAACAAAAAAGAUGCAGAACUUUCAGACCUCAAAUAAUGCAAAGAAAACAAGUUCAUAUUCAUAAAGUUUUAAGAGUUCAGAAAUAAUCAAUAUUUGGUGGAAUAACACUGGUUGGUUUUUAAUCACAGUUUUUUUUCAUACAUCUUGGCAUCAUGUUCUCCUCCACCAGUCUUACACACUGCUUUUGGAUAACUUUAUGCUGCUUUACUCCUGGUGUAAAAAUUCAAGCAGUUCAGUUUGGUGGUUUGAUGGUUUGUGAUCAUCCAUCUUCCUCUUGAUUAUAUUCCAGAGGUUUUUAAUUUGGUAAAAUCAAAGAAACUCAUCAUUUUUUAAGUGGUGUGAACCUGGUACCACCAACACAAUUGGCACUUUUAAAAUACUUUUUAAAGUUCUCAGAACACCAUGAAUCUCUAAAAUUUCUAAAAUCUGAAUGAAACAAAUUCUAAUCAUUUUUCAAACCACCUCCAAAUGUGAUUUGGAUCUGAUUUGCAAAAAUUUAGAUUUUUGUGGUUUCUGGCUGUUCAGACUGUGUCUCAAAUCCAAAUUCUGGAUACAAUCUAGCUUUGACCUUGCAGUCUGAAUGUAGCGAAAUUGAAGUCCAGUCCAGUGUUUUGUUGUUGGCAUCGUUAGCAUUGUUAGCAUCGUUAGCCUAGCAUCUCCUGUAUAUAAGCUAGGCCUGCGUGAGCACACAUGGCCGUACCGAACGUCCUGACCGACCGGAUGAACCUGAGCUCAGAAAUCAGACCUGGCCUCCGGUGCCGUAUGCUAAUCUGCUAGCGUGUGAUUGGGUCGGGCCCUGGAGUGUAGCUGAAGCAGGGGGUGUACAGCAGCACAGCGUUAUAGAUAAGGCUUUUAUAUGAUCUGCUGUGGAAGCUUUUAGUUGCAGAAGCAGAUUUCACCUGUCUCGUCCUCCAUCUAUGGAUUUUCAACUAGACCUACAUCAGAUUUACCAUUACGAGUGUAUAAGUUAAUGUGUACAUAUAUAAAUACAUGUAUAAAAAUAUUAAAGCUUUUUAACUACUGUA